GAGCAAUGUCAGGUGGUAGGUGCACAUGCCAACAAUGGUCAGAGUGACGGCCGCCUCCUCUUCGCUACGCCCCGUGCCGUGCGGGCUGUCGGUGUCGGCCCAUGGCCGCCGAACGGCCGCCCGGCGGUGCUGCGCUCGUCACUGCUAACGCGCGCGGGGCGGGGACAGUAGAUCGCGCCGCCGAGGAUGGAGGCAGGAAGGAAGACAGUAGUUCGCGGCGUUGAGGGUGGGUGGGUGGAGGCCGGAGGUUACUUUUCCGGGCGCCGGGCGGCUCGGGUCCUCGACGCUCACUCACCGGACGGCGGGCAGUUAUGCGGCUCCUCGAGCGCCAGUCGCUGGUGCCGCUCCUCCGGCGGCGGCAUCGGCGAUGUGUCCCGGCCUUCCCCUUUGACUAGUUGAACCGCCACAUUGGUUCUAGUGUAUUUACCCAAGGGAGUGUUCAAGAACCUACUACUUGAACACACCCCCAGGUCAUACGAGGUUGGUUCUACAUGAAAGUACACGGAAGUUCCUUCAUAAGCUGAGAAGGUGAACGUGCUUAGUAGACCGCCGCUGACCGUAGCGGAACGACGAGCAUGAGCGCGAGAGUGAGGUCGACCAAUAGUUUUAGGGCUUCUCACCUCGCAGACGAGUCCCCGAGCAGCGUCAGCCGAGUGGUGACGUCAACCGACGUCACCAGAAGUCACCGUAGGACCCCGACCAAAUAGAACCGGAUCCUGACAGCUACGACCCUUCGUAGAAGUCAGUCCUACGAAGACAAAUGGACGGUGUGACCACCGAACACUGUAAUAGAGUUCCUAAGUCAAACCAGGAAAGGUCGAAACGAAAGUCGCAGUCCGGAACCAAAGAGCCUCGAAGUAAACAAGGUCAAACCAGCUAAGACCACUGGGACAUGCGUCGUAAGUAUACGACAAGGAGCCAACAACCGUAACAACGUCUAUUCCGUCAGUGGUAAUUCCGGACAAACCUACAAGACAGGGAUGGUCGACGUAAAGAGAAGGAUGAAAUACCGCAAGCCGCGUCGGUACUACUUCUGCUAAUGGUCCGUUGUCCUUUACGAAAUAUGUUCGGGGACUUGUGGCUCCGUCUACUAGUCUAUCGACUAAGACUGUGAGUCCACUGAAGAAAACGAUUUCGACCAAAAAAGUCGUUCUACAGUAAAACCACCAACUUGGUAAACUACUUCUACCCAAUAUUCUUCGGAGAACUCCUGUUUCUAUACGGUGAAAAUGUUUGGUGUCUGGCUCGUGUAUUGGUCAUGAACUACAAGAACCUCUUCGACUUAUCGUUCGUCAGCGUCAGUGUACGGUGUGGUAGUUAGAACACCUGAUAACAAAGAACGGUGUUCGCACUCUAGUAUCAGAGUCCAAAGAAACGAAACGAGUUCCACGAGUGGAAUAGAUGUCCGGGUAACGAAGAGUUCCGUAAGUAGUUACAUAGUCAACCGUUUCCCUGGAAAUUUAUACUUCCGAAACACGACCGACGCUGUUACAAACAAACGUUUACGACACUUAGAAACAGCGUCUCCGUCACCAAAAAGGCGUGAGCCUCCAAUCCUGAGGUCCACUCCAGUAAGGACAGUCGUCGAUAAAUAUUCUUCGUUGUCUUCGAUAGUUUGAGACGUUUUUACUUCGUGAGAAGACCUGUUUAAUACUUGAUACACUGACAGCUACGGAUGGCCUAACCCCUUAAGGGCAUGACCAAAGUGGUUUGUACCUGUUGUUCAGAAGUUGAAACGUAACGAGACCGUUAAGACAUGUUACGUCAACCACGACGUCGUCAGAGUAGUAACCGACAGUAGUAAUAGUGACAUUAGCCAUUACGAGGCCACCGGUUCGACGUUGUGUUUAAAGUCUCAUUCGAAUACCUUCGAGUUCUACACUCUAACUUUCGGUACAGACUCAGGAAUCAAGUAUACUUCUAGAACUUUGAAAUAAGUACCCUUCCAGUGAAGUUCUUCCAGUAGCUCCCUAACUCCCUCCAACUCAUAUUCACCAACAGUCGUAAGGACGAAUCCUCCCGCAUGUUGUCAAAGGACAAGACCAGUAGUGGACAAAAUCAAAGCCGUCGUUGGAAAGAUUGUACGAUAGAAAAGUUUUAAGGAGAACUACGAUCGUUGCAGAAGUGGUGACACCGUUGAGACGCAGAGCACGUUCUGGGUCAAUCCUGUUAUGGCCUACAAUAACGUCACGACUAUGUUCGAUUCCAACCAAAGUGAGCGUAUAGUUUCAAAGAACUACGUGGACUCGACUUACCUGUUCAAUCCUUCUUUAUGGCACGCCCGUAGCUAAUGGGUUAUCGCUACUUGAGUACGUCAAAGAGGACCCUACUCUUAGGUAGUUUUGGUUGAGAUUUGUUAUAUUUAGACCACCACUUUCGACCUCUUUUCCAACGUUAAACACCUCUCCAUCCUAGUCCUUUCAGUUGCGAAAACCGAAGACAUGAACCUCUCCAGGGGUUUUGACUUCCGUGCUAACUUCAGACACCCUUUUAUCGUAUACAAAGAGUCUGACGUACCUAGGUUUGUCCUUGACAUGUCCUAUUAUAGGAGAAGCCUAGAAACUACCUGUCUGUUUAUAUGGUUCUUUGUUAACUCUCUACGAGUAACCAGUUCCUGGAACUUUACGACGGUAAGCCGCUGGCGUGUGUUUAACCCCUCUCUCCUCAUUUAGAUUCACCACCAGUCUUCGUCGCACAAGUCGAACGAGCACGUGAUAUGGUCUUACGUCUGUAUAUAGAAGAACUACUGGGAAAGUCACGACAACUACGGGUAUGUCGUUGUUCGGAGAAAUUACUAAUACAGUACCCACAAGAUAGUCUGUUCUGACAAGAAAACCACUGGGUGGUUCACCUAAAAGAUGGACAUAAACUGAGGUAAGACAAUUACAGUCUACCCCUCCAAUAAGCCAGACGUGGAAUAGUUCUAAAUAACCGUCUAACGGUUCUUAAGUUCAUGGAACAUUUACGUGUAUUUCUAUGACAACCACAAGUUCUAGGAUUGUCACGAGGGGUGCCUCGUUUCCUUUAUGGUUGUUUCCUCUGUCUACCUUAAGUACAUUUGUCUAUGUAUCUCAGACACCCCGGUAGUGGUCAUCUAGUUGACUAGUUCUUUCUCCUUUCUCUUAGUCCCCUAUGUCCAGAAUUCGGAAUAUACGAAAUGGACGCGGUCUUAUUUCCGAAGAACAUACGGAGAGAAAGACAAUACAGAGUGUAUCAAAAGAAUCGACCCGUUUAUAGGGUCUUAAGUACCUACCGACGGUUACAGGUUUUAGGAGUACAAUCAUGUGACUUCAAUUAAAGACACAUGCAACCAUAACCUCAAACGUGUUACUAGAAACACGAUAGCUCUACAAAUAAACAGCAACAAGAACCGCAGGUUUGAAGUUCUAGGAAUAAAUGGGUCAAUGAGUUAAGUAACAAGGCACGUGGAUACAGGAAAAAACUAAGAUGAGGAGUUCCUUCCUAAGAAUCGGCCCAGAGAAGUCUAAACUCAUAGCAACUGGAACUAUAAGGUAAACGUAAGUACAAAUCGGAGUCAAGGACGAAUUUGCGUAUAUCGUUACACCCCCAUAACCGACAACAACAUACCGUUCAAGACAAACAUCGUGACGGCUACUAUCAAAACCAUUAAGUCAACGUCUCCAUGAUAAAUCGGAGUCGAUUCCUUAACUACGCCUAGUUGCCUUGGUGGUUCAGACGAGAUCGUUUAGUGAAUCCACUUAGCUAGAGUCCCCGAUAUUGUUAUGCGCGGAAACUCCUCCUUCUAGCAAAGAAACGAUUCUUAAACCUCGAUCAACUGUUCUUACGACCAGGUAUGAAGAAAUUAAAACGUCGUUGACUUACCAACUAACUUGCAGACCUUUAUUACCCACGACACCAAGAAAGAAGAAGACGGAAACAGUACCGAGAAGAAGGACGUCCUUGAAAAUCGGGACCAAAAUAACCUUACCGUGACAGGAUACCGGAAAGGGAUUUAUUAAGGAAACAAUUGUGGUAUGUUUUCGUUACACUGGAGCGUUUAUUUUAUUAUAGACACCUUGCCCACUUGGUCAUGUACCUGUAAGGCUCACUUCGUGGUCUUCAAUAACUUCUUUUGGCUGGUCGUGGUCUAACCGGGGUUCAACCGUCACACCUCGAAUUUCUAGACUUCUAAUCCAUGUCCCUUCUACGUGGGGAACAUGAUGUGCCAUAGUCAACGUUCAAAGUUCCAUCUCUAUUCUAACCAUAACAACCAGCUUGUCCUUCACCGUUCUGUUGAAAUUAACCACGCAACAAAGCGGAACAACUUGGACGACUUCCCUUUUAUUAAUAUCUGAGGCACCUGUAGUCAUGUUAUCCGAAUGUACUGGACGCAAGCGCAAACCCGUAGUAAGGUGUUCUAGGUUGUGAAAAAGUCCCAUGUCAUUCUAUGUUAGAUCUAGGAGAACCCGUUAAGAGUCUAGUCGUUUAUACCCUCCAAGAACUGUUUACAGUUGAAGAACUUCGACAGGUCCUCUUCUUUGUCCCUAACCUAAGUGAACAACGCCUUCUGCCCAGCUUGACCUCGUACCCGGUUUCCGUCGAGAAAACAAACCCGGCGUGUGAAAACUUUUCCACAGCAUAGAACCAGGAACUACUUCGGUGACGGAGAUAUCUGUUGUGUUGUCUACGGCAGGAAGUCUUUUGCUAGGCCUGUCUUAAGUUUGUAACGUGGCAGUAAUGCCAGCGGGUGGCAUAUGGGUGUCAGUACCUGACGCUGUACCAUGAACGUUACUCACUACCCUUUCAUCGUCUCAUACUGUUUGGGAGCUUCGAGUACCUUUGACUUCCUAGAGAGAAGGCGCUCGACCACUUGCUCAUGACCAGUAUGUGUAGUUUGCCUUUGUAAAUCUUCUCUAAGAACUACCACACACAAACCACGACGACGGAGCUGUUCUCUUUUGUGGUAUAUAUCAAAUUAGAGAACUGUAUGGAGUCUCCCUAAGUAGAUGAUCUCUAGACUUCUUUUAUGCCACGGUAGAAAGUCAGUAAAGGGCCUUAAAAAAACGAGAGAUGUCGAUGGACUUUCAAGCUCGAUGUAUACCAAAUCGGAUACAAACAAGUCAUAGCGGUGAGAAGUUUUCGUGACUCCGACUUGCCUUGUCUUUUCGUAUGGAUCGAUCCGCCACGGCCACGGCCAAGACAAGAGGAAAAGAAAGUUUAUACCAAGACAAAAAGAAUAACGCUUUAUUAUACCAAUACAACUGGGGUAAGUCCGACUCCACUACGAAAUGCUAAAUUAGGUCCGUAGUUGGUACGUACGUACAAACCUGUUUUGAUUUAAUCCCUUUUAGAUCACCUUUUAAAACUAUACUAGACUAAUUAUUAACUUCUUCCUUUCGAACUACAACUUAACAACUAGUGCACGGACAAAGCCUAGCUUUUCCCGUUAAUCACGUAAACAGCAACAACAAACAACAAACAACACGACGGGGAUGACGACGAUGAUGAUAUUUCAUGUCACAUAAAAAGUGUUGAAAACAACACGACGGGGAUGACUCCGCGCCACCAACGACCGACUCGUGUCACCAACACCACCACCGACGAUCCCGUGCCGACGCCGCUGGAACUCGUGCUGGUCAAGACCCGCCGCCGCCGCUAAAUCCGUCGCCGACGCUGCUGCUAAGGGAGUACCCGCCACCACUAACUCCGGGCGCCAACGACCAACUCGGGUCAAGUAGGAAAUGACAGUUACAAUGGAGUCCGGGCCGUUCAAGGGUUCAACCACCUUUAUUUUCUCGUUUCUUUCACGGUCGUUUUGAUGGUCUGAUCACGAACAAAACGACAACAGACAAGAACACAGUCUGGUACACUCUCAAGUACAAACAGCAACUAACAUUCGAUAUAAGUCAUGAUAAAGGGAAAGGGUAAGUCAUGAAACAGUCUGAUACAAGUUGAUUUAACCCAAGUCUGAUACAAGUUGAUUUAUUUAAGUCAUGUUACGAGACUUUACAGGU
This 5975-nucleotide ribosomal RNA is filed under the name Triticum aestivum (bread wheat). RNAcentral's name for it is "partial small subunit ribosomal RNA". Lineage: Eukaryota; Viridiplantae; Streptophyta; Magnoliopsida; Poales; Poaceae. The record is from RNAcentral.